Molecule: ribosomal RNA, 300 nt
Filed under: uncultured bacterium
Lineage: Bacteria
Description: bacterial SSU rRNA
Rfam family: Bacterial small subunit ribosomal RNA
Source: RNAcentral
CCAGAGGGUCAAAGGAGCAAAUCCGGUGAAGGGUGGGCUCGCGUCCGAUUAGAUAGUUGGUGAGGUAACGGCCCACCAAGUCGACGAUCGGUAGCCGACCUGAGAGGUGAUCGGCCACAUUGGGACUGAGACACGGCCCAAACUCCUACGGGAGGCAGCAGUGGGGAAUAUUGGGCAAUGGGGGAACCCUGACCCAGCAACGCCGCGUGAGGGAAGAAGGUUUUCGGAUCGUAAACCUCUGUCCUUGGUGAAGAGGAAAGAGACGGUAGCCAAGGAGGAAGCCCCGGCUAACUACGUGCC